Molecule: transfer RNA, 75 nt
Filed under: Moraxella sp.
Lineage: Bacteria; Pseudomonadati; Pseudomonadota; Gammaproteobacteria; Moraxellales; Moraxellaceae
Also listed under: 28 other names
Description: tRNA-Thr
Rfam family: tRNA
About the family: Transfer RNA (tRNA) molecules are approximately 80 nucleotides in length. Their secondary structure includes four short double-helical elements and three loops (D, anti-codon, and T loops).
Source: RNAcentral
GCUCAUAUAGCUCAGAGGUAGAGCACUCCCUUGGUAAGGGAGAGGUCCCGAGUUCAACUCUCGGUAUGAGCUCCA